AGUGAACGCUGGCGGUAGGCCUAACACAUGCAAGUCGAACGGCAGCACAGUAAGAGCUUGCUCUUACGGGUGGCGAGUGGCGGACGGGUGAGGAAUACCUCGGAAUCUACUUUUUCGUGGGGGAUAACGUAGGGAAACUUACGCUAAUACCGCAUACGACCUACGGGUGAAAGCAGGGGAUCUUCGGACCUUGCGCGAUUGAAUGAGCCGAUGUCGGAUUAGCUAGUUGGCGGGGUAAAGGCCCACCAAGGCGACGAUCCGUAGCUGGUCUGAGAGGAUGAUCAGCCACACUGGAACUGAGACACGGUCCAGACUCCUACGGGAGGCAGCAGUGGGUAAUAUUGGACAAUGGGCGCAAGCCUGAUCCAGCCAUACCGCGUGGGUGAAGAAGGCCUUCGGGUUGUAAAGCCCUUUUGUUGGGAAAGAAAAGCAGCAGGUUAAUACCCCGCUGUUCUGACGGUACCCAAAGAAUAAGCACCGGCUAACUUCGUG
RNAcentral lists this ribosomal RNA (492 nucleotides) under uncultured bacterium. RNAcentral describes it as "partial 16S ribosomal RNA". It matches the Rfam family "Bacterial small subunit ribosomal RNA", at positions 29 to 507 of the family's 1533-position model. The record is from RNAcentral.